GGUGGUAUGGUUCAAGUGAUAAGAGCUCCUGCCUAGUAAGCAAGAGACCCUAAGGUCAAAACUCACUACCACCA
Molecule: transfer RNA, 74 nt
Filed under: Dipodomys ordii (Ord's kangaroo rat)
Lineage: Eukaryota; Metazoa; Chordata; Mammalia; Rodentia; Heteromyidae
Rfam family: tRNA
About the family: Transfer RNA (tRNA) molecules are approximately 80 nucleotides in length. Their secondary structure includes four short double-helical elements and three loops (D, anti-codon, and T loops).
Source: Rfam by way of RNAcentral